This is a long non-coding RNA of Oncorhynchus tshawytscha (Chinook salmon), 2657 nucleotides long. Lineage: Eukaryota; Metazoa; Chordata; Actinopteri; Salmoniformes; Salmonidae. The record is from Ensembl.
GGAGAAGAGAGGAGUGACUAGUGGGGUGGGAGAGGAGAGGAGUGACUAGUGGGGUGGGAGAGGAGAGGAGUGACUAGUGGUGGGAGAAGAGAGGAGUGACUAGUGGGGUGGGAGAGGAGUGACUAGUGGUGAGAGAAGAGAGGAGUGACUAGUGGGGUGGGAGAGGAGUGACUAGUGGUGGGAGAAGAGAGGAGUGACUAGUGGGGUGGGAGAGGAGUGACUAGUGGUGAGAGAAGAGAGGAGUGACUAGUGGGGUGGGAGAAGAGUGACUAGUGGUGAGAGAAGAGAGGAGUGACUAGUGGGGUGGGAGAGGAGUGACUAGUGGGGUGGGAGAGGAGUGACUAGUGGGGUGGGAGAGGUGUGACUAGUGGGGUGGGAGAGGAGUGACUAGUGGUGGGAGAAGAGAGGAGUGACUAGUGGGGUGGGAGAGGAGUGACUAGUGGGGUGGGAGAAGAGAGGAGUGACUAGUGGCGUGGGAGAGGGGUGACUAGUGGGGUGGGAGAGGAGUGACUAGUGGUGGGAGAAGAGAGGAGUGACUAGUGGGGUGGGAGAGGAGUGACUAGUGGGGUGGGAGAGGAGAGGAGUGACUAGUGGGGUGGGAGAGGAGAGGAGUGACUAGUGGGGUGGGAGAGGAGAGGAGUGACUAGUGGGGUGGGAGAGGAGUGACUAGUGGGGUGGGAAAGGAGUGACUAGUGGGGUGGGGGAAGAGAGGAGUGACUAGUGGGGUGGGAGAAGAGAGGAGUGACUAGUGGUGGGAGAAGAGAGGAGUGACUAGUGGGGGGGGAAGGAGUGACUAGUGGGGUGGGAGAAGAGAGGAGUGACUAGUGGGGUGGGAGAAGAGAGGAGUGACUAGUGGGGUGGGAGAAGAGAGGAGUGACUAGUGGUGGGAGAAGAGACGAGUGACUAGUGGGCUGGGAGAAGAGAGGAGUGACUAGUGGUGGGAGAAGAGAGGAGUGACUAGUGGGGGGAGAAGAGAGGAGUGACUAGUGGUGGGAGAAGAGAUGAGUGACUAGUGGGGUGGGAGAAGAGUGACUAGUGGUGGGAGAAGAGAGGAGUGACUAGUGGUGGGAGAAGAGCGGAGUGACUAGUGGGGUGGGAGAGGAGUGACUAGUGGGGUGGGAGAGGAGUGACUAGUGGGGUGGGAGAGGAGUGACUAGUGGUGGGAGAAGAGAGGGGUGACUAGUGGGGUGGGAGAGGAGUGACUAGUGGGGUGGGAGAGGAGAGGAGUGACUAGUGGGGUGGGAGAGGAGUGACUAGUGGUGGGAGAAGAGAGGAGUGACUCUGGGGGGAGAGAAGAGAGGAGUGACUAGUGGGGGAGAGAAGAGAGGAGUGACUAGUGGGGAGAAGAAGAGGAGUGACUAGUGGGGGAGAAGAGAGGACUGACUAGUGAGGGAGAAGAGCGGAGUGACUAGUGGGGGGGAGGGGGAGAAGAAGAGAACCCUCUGCCAGUGUUUAACUAAACCCUCUGCCAGUGUUUAACUAAACCCUCUGCCAGUGUUUUACUAAACCCUCUGCCAGUGUUUAACUAAACCCUCUGCCAGUGUUUUACUAAACCAUCUGCCAGUGUUUAACUAAACCCUCUGCCAGUGUUUUACUAAACCAUCUGCCAGUGUUUAACUAAACCCUCUGCCAGUGUUUUACUAAACCCUCUGCCAGUGUUUUACUAAACCCUCUGCCAGUGUUUUACUAAACCAUCUGCCAGUGUUUAACUAAACCCUCUGCCAGUGUUUUACUAAACCCUCUGCCAGUGUUUUACUAAACCCUCUGCCAGUGUUUAACUAAACCCUCUGCCAGUGUUUAACUAAACCCUCUGCCAGUGCCUGUCAUUUCCAAAGUGCCUCUUCCAUAGUCAAAACCCCACAGCAGCAGCCUUAUUAAUAACCCAGCCAUUGAGCUGUUCAGAACUCAAGCCUCCUCCCUCAGCUUAAGGACAUGACUUCAGACUGGCUUAUACUGUUUUAAGGAGUGACUGUUGUAAAGUUCCACACACACACAAACACCCACGUAGAGUUAACAUGCAUGUACAUACACAAGCACACGAACGUGCACACACACACACACACACACACACACACACUGACGCUGUUCUGGAAACGUCUUUCCAUAUGAUAUACGACCAUCAACCAGAGCACAUCACGUCACAUCAUAAAGAAUAAAUAGUAGAAGUGGUCCUAUUGUGCCAAACAUAACAUCGACCAGGGUGGGUUUCACUAUUCCACAGUAAUGUAUCAGUGAUGUUUUCCUGUUAUUGAAUUCCUUUCUUGAUGCAUAUCCUCCGAGUGCUGCUGAGCGGGAAUCAUUGUUGAUACCCUCUCGGACACUCUCUCUCUGCGCUAACUGUGUGUGUAACGACAGGCGGGACGUGCACACCAGGACCAGUCCUCUUCCUGUCCCUGUACCCUCUGGGGGGGGUCUGCUUGAUGACAUCACUGCUACUCCCCUCUCCUACCUCUUCUCCUCCUCUCUUUCCUCCCCUUCAUCCUCCUGCUUCUUUUGUCCUUCUCUUCCUCUUCCUCCUCCUCUCUUAUUCCUCUCCUUCUCAUCCUUCUCCGUUAUCCCUCUUCUCCUCCUCCUACCUCUUCUCUCUCCUCUCCCCUCCUCCUCCUCCUCUCUUAUUCCUCUCCCUCUCCUCCUUCUCUGUUAUCCCUCUUCUCGUC